Non-coding RNA from Podarcis lilfordi (Lilford's wall lizard), 72 nucleotides. The record is from the annotation of a GenBank genome assembly. NCBI's taxonomy places the organism in Eukaryota, Metazoa, Chordata, Lepidosauria, Squamata, Lacertidae.
GGAUGUGGCUCAGAGGGAGGGCAAGCUGUUUUGCAUGCAAGAACGUCCCAGGUUCAAUCCCCGGCAUGUCCA